ACACAUGCAAGUCGAGGGGCAGCAUGAUUGAAGCUUGCUUCAAUUGAUGGCGACCGGCGCACGGGUGAGUAACGCGUAUCCAACCUUCCGUACACUCAGGGAUAGCCUUUCGAAAGAAAGAUUAAUACCCGAUGGUAUGAUGAGAUUGCAUGAUAGCAUCAUUAAAGAUUUAUCGGUGUACGAUGGGGAUGCGUUCCAUUAGGUAGUAGGCGGGGUAACGGCCCACCUAGCCGACGAUGGAUAGGGGUUCUGAGAGGAAGGUCCCCCACAUUGGAACUGAGACACGGUCCAAACUCCUACGGGAGGCAGCAGUGAGGAAUAUUGGUCAAUGGACGAGAGUCUGAACCAGCCAAGUAGCGUGAAGGAUGAAGGUCCUACGGAUUGUAAACUUCUUUUAUAAGGGAAUAAAACCUCCCACGUGUGGGAGCUUGUAUGUACCUUAUGAAUAAGCAUCGGCUAACUCCGUGCCAGCAGCCGCGGUAAUACGGAGGAUGCGAGCGUUAUCCGGAUUUAUUGGGUUUAAAGGGAGCGCAGACGGGUCGUUAAGUCAGCUGUGAAAGUUUGGGGCUCAACCUUAAAAUUGCAGUUGAUACUGGCGUCCUUGAGUGCGGUUGAGGUGUGCGGAAUUCGUGGUGUAGCGGUGAAAUGCUUAGAUAUCACGAAGAACUCCGAUUGCGAAGGCAGCACACUAAGCCGUAACUGACGUUCAUGCUCGAAAGUGUGGGUAUCAAACAGGAUUAGAUACCCUGGUAGUCCACACGGUAAACGAUGGAUACUCGCUGUUGGCGAUAUACAGUCAGCGGCUUAGCGAAAGCGUUAAGUAUCCCACCUGGGGAGUACGCCGGCAACGGUGAAACUCAAAGGAAUUGACGGGG
This 875-nucleotide ribosomal RNA is filed under the name uncultured bacterium. RNAcentral's name for it is "bacterial SSU rRNA". It matches the Rfam family "Bacterial small subunit ribosomal RNA", at positions 51 to 918 of the family's 1533-position model. The record is from RNAcentral.